AAUGAUCUCAAUCAUGAUUGCCACUUUUGAAGGAUACGAAGAUUCUCUCUUCACUUUCUCUCUCUACUUUUUCUCUCAUGAUUGACUUUCUCUCUCUAAAAAGAUCUAUGAAUCCUGUAUCGAGUCAUGCCUUCAUCUUUUAGAGGCUCAUAUUGACUCUAAUAAGAUGAUCCAAAGUUGCUUUGAUAUCCGUGCUGUAUGUCAACUUCAUUUGGCCAUAUCAAGUAUUUUUCAAACCCAUUAUUAAAGAACCUUAUUGAUUGAUCUUAACCUUAAUACGAUCUGUGCUUCACGAUUUCUUGAUCAAGUCACUUAAAUCUGACCCUCAGAUCAGAGACCCUGAAUUAUCCUGGUAUUUGGAUGGACCGACACAUCCGGACAACAGUCCUCUUUCCUUAUGAUUUAAUCUUAUUAUAUUUAUGAAAUACAAAUUGAUGAUGAUUUGAUAUUUUAAAUAGGAUUAGUUGAUUCUUUUAACGAAGUCUGAAGAUCUAAGAUGAAUGAGGUAAGUAGACCUUAUGCUCCUUAUUUAUUUUUAAAUGAUCAUAUUUUUAUGCAAAAAAUUGCUAUUGAUGAAAUCAUAAUUUUUCAUAAAAUAAGGAUCGGCAUAUGUGAUAUGAAAAAGUAUGUUUUAUUAUGAGCAUUGAUUUCAUGAAUAUGUCUUAUGAAAAUAGUAUGAUUAUGAAGCAUGAAUUUCAUUAUUUUUCUAUCUAUGUAUAUGUAUGCUUUAAGAAAAAGAUAUAAUGAUUUCAAAGGCUCUCAGAUGGCUAUGAAUGAAUCCCUUCGGAAAGGUCGACAUCCGGAGCUAGCAUCCACACG
This 819-nucleotide long non-coding RNA is filed under the name Elaeis guineensis (African oil palm). RNAcentral's name for it is "long non-coding RNA (EGUI_LNC003019)". The record is from RNAcentral. Lineage: Eukaryota; Viridiplantae; Streptophyta; Magnoliopsida; Arecales; Arecaceae.